This 288-nucleotide ribosomal RNA is filed under the name Triticum aestivum (bread wheat). RNAcentral describes it as "partial small subunit ribosomal RNA". Lineage: Eukaryota; Viridiplantae; Streptophyta; Magnoliopsida; Poales; Poaceae. The record is from RNAcentral.
AUGGCCCUCCAAGCUCCAAUCAUCAACAUGGCGUCCCUGGGUAGCAGAGCUGCCGGCCGUCGUCGUCCCACGGUGCUCCAGCAGAUCGCUCUCUUCGUCGUUAUCGCGGCGGUCAUCAUGAACAGCUCCGUCUGCGUUGGAGCCGCCGGCCACGACGCCGCUGUAGUAGGCACAGACCCUAACCACCCUGCUUUCCCGUCGCCGCCUGGUAAACCCUACACCGGCGGCCGUGGGUGCCGCACAAUUUACGGAUGUCGUGAUGUACCACCGGCGGGUGGCCAGCCCUAG